UAGGGAAUCUUCCACAAUGGACGAAAGUCUGAUGGAGCAACGCCGCGUGAGUGAAGAAGGGUUUCGGCUCGUAAAACUCUGUUGUUAAAGAAGAACAUACCUGAGAGUACCUGUUCAGGUAUUGACGGUAUUUAACCAGAAAGCCACGGCUAACUACGUGCAAG
Molecule: ribosomal RNA, 164 nt
Filed under: uncultured bacterium
Lineage: Bacteria
Description: partial 16S rRNA
Rfam family: Bacterial small subunit ribosomal RNA
Source: RNAcentral